RNAcentral lists this ribosomal RNA (129 nucleotides) under Triticum aestivum (bread wheat). RNAcentral's name for it is "partial small subunit ribosomal RNA". The record is from RNAcentral. Lineage: Eukaryota; Viridiplantae; Streptophyta; Magnoliopsida; Poales; Poaceae.
ACCAUAACUUUCCAAUUACGAGUACGAGAAUUGAAAGACAUGAAAAUUCUCAAUUCUCUACGGCGUCUAGUAGAUAGAAACAAGAAAAUCAGAAGAAUCUUUCUCUCUAUUCACUAUCAUUCCGCGUGA